Molecule: ribosomal RNA, 749 nt
Filed under: uncultured bacterium
Lineage: Bacteria
Description: bacterial SSU rRNA
Rfam family: Bacterial small subunit ribosomal RNA
Source: RNAcentral
AGAGUUUGAUCAUGGCUCAGGAUUAAUGCUGGUGGUAUGCAUAACACAUGCAAGUCGAACGAGUGGAACUUGUUCUACUAGUGGCGAACGGGCGAGUAAUACAUAUUUAACUUACUUUUACGAGGAGGAUAGCAGCUCGAAAGGGCUAUUAAUACUCCAUAGGUUUAUAAAUUAAAUUAAAGAGACUCCUCUGGGGCCUUGCGUAAAACUAGGAAUAUGUCCUAUUAGGUAGUUGGCGGGGUAAAGGCCCACCAAGCCAAUGAUGGGUAGCUGGACUGAGAGGUUGAACAGCCGCAAUGGGAUUGAGAUAUGGCCCAUAUUCCUACGGGAAGCAGCAGUGAGGAAUUUUUCACAAUGGACGAAAGUCUGAUGGAGCAAUACCACGUGAACGAUGAAGGUCUUCUGAUUGUAAAGUUCUUUUAUUUAGGAAAAAAAGCGUGCUAGGAAAUGAGCGCGCCUUGAUGGUACUAAUUGAAUAAGUGACAGCUAACUAUGUGCCAGCAGCUGCGGUAAAACAUAAGUCACGAGCAUUAUCCGGAUUUAUUGGGCGUAAAGGAAGCGUAGGCGGGGAGGUUGAUCCAUUGUUAAAAGCAUUUGCUUAACAAAUGUGUGCAUUGGAGAUCGCCUCCCUAGAGUUAAUCAGGGGGUACUGGAAUUCAAUGUGUAGCGGUGGAAUGCGUAGAUAUAUUGAGGAACACCAGAGGCUAAGGCGAGUGCCUAGGAUAUAACUGACGCUGAGGCUUGAAAGC